This 509-nucleotide ribosomal RNA is filed under the name uncultured bacterium. RNAcentral describes it as "partial 16S ribosomal RNA". The record is from RNAcentral.
GGAGUUAGCCGGUGCUUCUUCUGUGAGUGAUGUCCUUCCUGCCGGCUAUUAACCCGCAGGCCUUCUUCCUCACUGAAAGUGCUUUACAACCCGAAGGCCUUCUUCACACACGCGGCAUGGCUGGAUCAGGGUUGCCCCCAUUGUCCAAUAUUCCCCACUGCUGCCUCCCGUAGGAGUCUGGGCCGUGUCUCAGUCCCAGUGUGGCUGAUCAUCCUCUCAGACCAGCUACGGAUCGUCGCCUUGGUGAGCCGUUACCUCACCAACCAGCUAAUCCGACAUAGGCUCAUCCGAUAGCGCGAGGCCCGAAGGUCCCCCGCUUUCCCCCGUAGGGCGUAUGCGGUAUUAGCCUGGGUUUCCCCACGGUUAUCCCCCACUACCGGGCAGAUUCCUAUGCAUUACUCACCCGUCCGCCGCUCGCCACCAGGGAGCAAGCUCCCCGUGCUGCCGCUCGACUUGCAUGUGUUAGGCCUGCCGCCAGCGUUCAAUCUGAGCCAUGAUCAAACUACUGA